GCUUACGGCCACACCGCCUGAGUACGACCUGAUCUCGGGUCCGAUCUCGGAAGCUAAGCAGGGUCGGGCCUGGUUAGUACUUGGAUGGGAGACCGCCUGGGAAUACCAGGUGCUGUAAGCU
RNAcentral lists this ribosomal RNA (121 nucleotides) under Oncorhynchus mykiss (rainbow trout). Lineage: Eukaryota; Metazoa; Chordata; Actinopteri; Salmoniformes; Salmonidae. The record is from RNAcentral.